RNAcentral lists this long non-coding RNA (233 nucleotides) under Elaeis guineensis (African oil palm). RNAcentral describes it as "long non-coding RNA (EGUI_LNC034482)". Lineage: Eukaryota; Viridiplantae; Streptophyta; Magnoliopsida; Arecales; Arecaceae. The record is from RNAcentral.
AAAGGUUUUCUUGAGAGACCUCUCCCUUUUAUACACCCCACUGCCUUCCAGACAGAUUGAGGCUGCCUGGAUUUGGAGAGUCACUGCUCAUCCUCGGGUGCAGAUUUUUCUUUGAAAGCUUGCCUGGGGCUGGCUCCUUACUCGAACUUUAUUUUAGGAGCAAGACAUGGAGGUUCCAACCUUAUGCCUAAUUUAUGGGAUGGAGGAUGAGUCUGCAGGGCAUACUAUCCUGU